UACGGAGGAUUCGAGCGUUAUCCGGAUUUAUUGGGUUUAAAGGGUGCGUAGGCUGUUCAUUAAGUUAGUCGUUAAAUCUCAGGGCUCAACCCUGACAUGGCUAUUAAUACUGGUGAACUAGAGAUUAGAUGCAGAGGGCGGAAUGUGUAGUGUAGCGGUGAAAUGCUUAGAUAUUACACAGAACACCGAUUGCGAAGGCAGCUCUCUAAUCUACAUCUGACGCUGAGGCACGAAAGCGUGGGGAUCAAACAGG
This 253-nucleotide ribosomal RNA is filed under the name uncultured bacterium. RNAcentral's name for it is "partial 16S ribosomal RNA". It matches the Rfam family "Bacterial small subunit ribosomal RNA", at positions 524 to 776 of the family's 1533-position model. The record is from RNAcentral.